Long non-coding RNA from Gasterosteus aculeatus aculeatus (three-spined stickleback), 796 nucleotides. Lineage: Eukaryota; Metazoa; Chordata; Actinopteri; Perciformes; Gasterosteidae. The record is from Ensembl.
GUUUACCCCUUGAGUGGUCACUUUAGAAUAUUAGGGAACUAAUUUAUAGCAUUAUUUUGUAUGUCCACGUAUUUAUAUAAUUCUUCCGAUGAAUCACUAUUUGUUUACUCUCACGUCGGUGCAACUUUCUUCACCAGUAAGUAAGUGGAAUGCAGUAGCACCUUGUUUCACAGGCUCAAAGAAGGGAAUGUACGAAAUGCCAAGCAUCUGAAAUAACUGGAGUGGCCAUUGUUUGAUUUUGGCAGGUGAGGAGGUGAAUCAUCGUGUAAAUAAGUAUGUGCAUGAAUGCAUCUUAAGCCUUCAAACUGUGUCCAUAUAAAAGACAGUAACGUUCAGUAGUUCAUCACAUGAAAGGUUUGCAACAUCUCAGGUGUGAAGUGGACAAAUUCAUAAAAACUGCAAUUGAUUGGAACAUCACGAGCACAGAGAGAGGGGAAUUUGCACAUUUUCCAUUCAUAUUCCAUCGACUUCUGUAUUACGAAGAAAAGGAAUGGAUGUCGGAUGGACUAUAUCAGUUCUCAUGCUUGUAAUAGGAGCUGGAGCAGUGACAACAGCUGCUGCACCUACAACUGCUCCAGCUGUGACAAACAAGACAAAAACUGCUGUAGUUAUACAUGCUGUACCAUUAUGUAAUGGACUUGCAACCACAGUUGCACCCACAACAGCAGCGCCUGCCACUGAAGCUCCCCGAAGAGUCGUUGUCCUCUCAGCUACUUUGCAACAAGCAUUCGUAAAACAACUCAAUGAUAAAAACAGCACGGAAUUCAGACAACUCGAGGCAACAGUUGUGACUGCG